Lolium rigidum is the source of this 2002-nucleotide long non-coding RNA. RefSeq lists it as uncharacterized. Lineage: Eukaryota; Viridiplantae; Streptophyta; Magnoliopsida; Poales; Poaceae. The record is from RefSeq and is a predicted model, not a curated record. The transcript has 4 exons.
GUGAGCGUCGCGUGUGGCUCGAGCGGGCCGCUGGGCUUGGGCGGGAUAAGGAAUUUGUGAAAGCGGCCGCCGGUCCUUCUUAUGGUGAAGAAGAGAAAGGGGCGUGGCCGCCGCUGUCACAGAGACGAACGUGUAGAGGUCGAUCCGCAGGCAGGCCUCCUCGCCGGACCACCGUCCUCACUAGCCCAAGCCAAAUAAGGUACUCACCUUCGUGGUGCUCAGUGGCUAGCCGAUGGUGGUGUACUACCGCUGGUGAGAACUAGGAGAAGGAAGAGGACAGAAAGAGAGAUGGAGCGGCAAGACUACUUGAUCCCAGGUUUCUCCCUCCCUCUCUCUCAAUCUUACUGCCCCUCCCAGGGAUUAGGUUCCCACUUGCGCGUUUUCUCUUGUGAAAGAUAGCUCUUGCAGAUGCAGGACAAGAUAAGAGAGAAGGGGCAAGUUCAGAUUAGCACUCCCCAGCGUAUGUGAGUUGGCACGCUAGGACUUGGGAAAGCUCAGCUCAGCCGUGGCCAUGAUGUGAAUCCCUUCUAAAUUUUCAGAUAAGUUAUUUUCUGAUCAGGUGCAUUUGAUUAAUUGUCCUAUAUAUGAGUGGAUAUUUAGUUCUGGUGAAAGUAUGAUUUAUUGUUCAUAUCAAAAUACAUAUGAGGCUUGGGCUGUAUAAGCACAAGAUUGUGCUGAGCUUUAUUUGUGGCUUGAAAUUUAGAUAGUUGCAUCGAUAAGUUCAUACAUGACAUACAGUCAUAAUCAUUUGCAAAUUUCGUGUCUUUUAAUGUUUCCAAAUAAUUUUCUGCUGCAUAAUGACUUUCCAACGUCCUCAUGUAUUGUGACAUAUAUGUUAAUGUUCAUAAUGAUAUGCUCGGUGCUUAGCAUUAAAGAGGGUGUUUUUCUGGACGAGUCACUAACAUCUCAUGUUCCCAACCAGAGAGGAGGAAAGGCUCGCUCGGCAAGGUCCAUGACAUGCUAGCAUUGGCAAAAUCUAUAAGCAACGACACAUUGCUUCUCUUCGCUGGUUCUUGCAGUAGUACUCAUGUAAAUAUAUUUGACUGAAUGGAGUAGGUCCAGGUCUCAUAUCCGCUCCUCCUUAUGGUGUUGAGAGCUUGUGAGACAUUUGGGUUAGUACAGAUUCAGUUCUUAUUGCCUCUUUUUUCUUACCUUUCAUGAAUUCAAUCUGAUUUGGUGUGCUCGCUAAUUAUACUUCUGGGAAGUUGCUAAUUGCUUGAUUCAGAAUAUUUCCCUCUUUUGUAAAAAAUAGCAUCCAUCUACUAUUUGUGACAUACAUAAGCCAUUGGUAUCUGGUUGGGCUUACUGAAUGUGAUAUUACACAUGGUCAAUACUGGACAUGGUGGAUCAAAGUAGUACAUAAUAUUUUUUUUCUACUUCCAGAUAGGCGCUGGUGGUUUCACAUAUAUGUUCCUAUUGUGCGAAGGGUGUUGUGAGGCUACCAUUGGUUGCAAUAAACAGAAAUUCCUAAUCCUAGCUGACUAUCUUCACUUGAUUUAUUAGUCUCCAGGUUAAAAAAAGAUUUAGGUUAUUUUGCCUCUUUUCUUCCUUAUAUAACCAGAUGGUUAUUUGACGGUUACUACUGCCUCCUGAUUGUUCUAUCCAAAAGUCGCUAAACGUUUGAUCCAGAAAUCCCCAUUUUGUGAAAAAUGUGAUUUAGCUACUUUUUGUUUACAUACAUAAACAUUACUAUCUGUCUUCCUUGCACAUGGUAAAGUAAGUAAAUGAAUUGUGAUAACCAUGUAUGCAGAUAGAAAGGUGUGCAAGAAGCUCGGCUAAAAUCUGCAGCAUUAGGCAGUGUGCGUCUUUGAACUGUCUUUAAACAGCCAAUGCCAUCUUUGAUUAGUGUAUAAUGUUAGUCCGAGUCUCUCUGGUGCAUGCUUUUUUGUGCGAGAAAAUGCGGUAGAUUACCUAUCAAAAAUCUCAGCUUCCACUAUUUGCUGAUAUCCUAUUUCUAGAAAUAUGUUUAGAGCUCUAAAAAGAUUGGAGAAAUCAAGGAGGA